GGAGGAAGCUGGAAGCCAAGAUGAGGAGGUGGCAGAGAUUCAGGCCAGAGUUGUGGGCCGCCGUCGGCAGCAAGAACAGAGAGAGAGGUGGACAGAUCUGAGAGAUACUGAGAUUAAAAGGAGCCCAAGCCCCAUCUCAUCCUAGCACACCCUCCUCCACUGUCCUGGCAGUAGCAGUCCCUGCACUAGGUCAGACAAUCCCCUUUGGGGUACAGGAAACAAAGCAGGAGGAGUUUGAGGUCCCUACACUGCAGCAGAAGAAGAGGAAGGAGUGGGGCCUGAAUUGACCAUAAAGGAUGUAGGGGCCACGUUGUUCCACUGUAAUGUCAAGGAGGGGGUGGCCAUUGUUUGUCCCAGCCUGGGGCUCCCCCUCUGGUUUCCUAUUUGUAGUUACUAGAAUGAAAAAAAAACAUGAUAGAUAAAUAAAUAAUCCACUGGCAGAGA
RNAcentral lists this long non-coding RNA (444 nucleotides) under Homo sapiens (human). RNAcentral describes it as "HSALNT0355003". The record is from RNAcentral. Lineage: Eukaryota; Metazoa; Chordata; Mammalia; Primates; Hominidae.